RNAcentral lists this ribosomal RNA (1190 nucleotides) under Leuconostoc mesenteroides. RNAcentral describes it as "bacterial SSU rRNA". It matches the Rfam family "Bacterial small subunit ribosomal RNA", at positions 100 to 1278 of the family's 1533-position model. Lineage: Bacteria; Bacillati; Bacillota; Bacilli; Lactobacillales; Lactobacillaceae. The record is from RNAcentral.
GAACGGGUGAGUAACACGUGGACAACCUGCCUCAAGGCUGGGGAUAACAUUUGGAAACAGAUGCUAAUACCGAAUAAAACUUAGUGUCGCAUGACACAAAGUUAAAAGGCGCUUCGGCGUCACCUAGAGAUGGAUCCGCGGUGCAUUAGUUAGUUGGUGGGGUAAAGGCCUACCAAGACAAUGAUGCAUAGCCGAGUUGAGAGACUGAUCGGCCACAUUGGGACUGAGACACGGCCCAAACUCCUACGGGAGGCUGCAGUAGGGAAUCUUCCACAAUGGGCGAAAGCCUGAUGGAGCAACGCCGCGUGUGUGAUGAAGGCUUUCGGGUCGUAAAGCACUGUUGUAUGGGAAGAACAGCUAGAAUAGGAAAUGAUUUUAGUUUGACGGUACCAUACCAGAAAGGGACGGCUAAAUACGUGCCAGCAGCCGCGGUAAUACGUAUGUCCCGAGCGUUAUCCGGAUUUAUUGGGCGUAAAGCGAGCGCAGACGGUUUAUUAAGUCUGAUGUGAAAGCCCGGAGCUCAACUCCGGAAUGGCAUUGGAAACUGGUUAACUUGAGUGCAGUAGAGGUAAGUGGAACUCCAUGUGUAGCGGUGGAAUGCGUAGAUAUAUGGAAGAACACCAGUGGCGAAGGCGGCUUACUGGACUGCAACUGACGUUGAGGCUCGAAAGUGUGGGUAGCAAACAGGAUUAGAUACCCUGGUAGUCCACACCGUAAACGAUGAACACUAGGUGUUAGGAGGUUUCCGCCUCUUAGUGCCGAAGCUAACGCAUUAAGUGUUCCGCCUGGGGAGUACGACCGCAAGGUUGAAACUCAAAGGAAUUGACGGGGACCCGCACAAGCGGUGGAGCAUGUGGUUUAAUUCGAAGCAACGCGAAGAACCUUACCAGGUCUUGACAUCCUUUGAAGCUUUUAGAGAUAGAAGUGUUCUCUUCGGAGACAAAGUGACAGGUGGUGCAUGGUCGUCGUCAGCUCGUGUCGUGAGAUGUUGGGUUAAGUCCCGCAACGAGCGCAACCCUUAUUGUUAGUUGCCAGCAUUCAGAUGGGCACUCUAGCGAGACUGCCGGUGACAAACCGGAGGAAGGCGGGGACGACGUCAGAUCAUCAUGCCCCUUAUGACCUGGGCUACACACGUGCUACAAUGGCGUAUACAACGAGUUGCCAGCCCGCGAGGGUGAGCUAAUCUCUUA